This 440-nucleotide ribosomal RNA is filed under the name uncultured bacterium. Its description in RNAcentral is "partial 16S ribosomal RNA". It matches the Rfam family "Bacterial small subunit ribosomal RNA", at positions 338 to 795 of the family's 1533-position model. The record is from RNAcentral.
CCUACGGGAGACAGCAGUAGGGAAUAUUGCUCAAUGGGGGAAACCCUGAAGCAGCAACGCCGCGUGGAGGAUGAAGGUUUUCGGAUUGUAAACUCCUUUUGUUAGAGAAGAAAAUGACGGUAUCUAACGAAUAAGCACCGGCUAACUCCGUGCCAGCAGCCGCGGUAAUACGGAGGGUGCAAGCGUUACUCGGAUUCACUGGGCGUAAAGAGCGCGCAGGCGGGAUAGCAAGUCAGAUGUGAAAGCCUAGGGCUUAACCCUAGAACUGCAUUUGAAACUGUUAUUCUGGAGUGUGGGAGAGGUAGGUGGAAUGCUUGGUGUAGCGGUGAAAUGCGUAGAGAUCAGGAGGAAUACUCAUUGCGAAGGCGGCCUGCUAGAACGUAACUGACGCUGAUGCGCGAAAGCGUGGGGAGCAAACAGGAUUAGAUACCCGAGUAGUC